RNAcentral lists this transfer RNA (77 nucleotides) under Oceanithermus profundus. Its description in RNAcentral is "tRNA-Met". It matches the Rfam family "tRNA". From Rfam's summary of the family: Transfer RNA (tRNA) molecules are approximately 80 nucleotides in length. Their secondary structure includes four short double-helical elements and three loops (D, anti-codon, and T loops). Further hydrogen bonds mediate the characteristic L-shaped molecular structure. tRNAs have two regions of fundamental functional importance: the anti-codon, which is responsible for specific mRNA codon recognition, and the 3' end, to which the tRNAs corresponding amino acid is attached (by aminoacyl-tRNA synthetases). tRNAs cope with the degeneracy of the genetic code in two manners: having more than one tRNA (with a specific anti-codon) for a particular amino acid; and 'wobble' base-pairing, i.e. permitting non-standard base-pairing at the 3rd anti-codon position. Lineage: Bacteria; Thermotogati; Deinococcota; Deinococci; Thermales; Thermaceae. RNAcentral also lists the same sequence under 4 other names. The record is from RNAcentral.
GGCGGUGUAGCUCAGCUGGUUAGAGCACACGACUCAUAAUCGUGGAGUCGGCGGUUCAAGUCCGCCCACCGCCACCA